This is a long non-coding RNA of Mustela erminea (ermine), 1179 nucleotides long. RefSeq lists it as uncharacterized. NCBI's taxonomy places the organism in Eukaryota, Metazoa, Chordata, Mammalia, Carnivora, Mustelidae. The record is from RefSeq and is a predicted model, not a curated record. The transcript is spliced from 9 exons.
UCAACUAUUCAAUAAGUAAUGACUACCUACUCUGUCUUUGACACUGUGAUAAGCACUAAGAUACUGUAACUGCCAACAUGGAGAUUCAGUCUAGUGCAAGACAUAGGUAACAAGCAAGGUCUACUAAUUAAACUAGGCCACCAAAGUAUUUAAUCCCUGGUGAGGUGCAGAAUGUGCAAGAGUAUCCCAGCGGGAAUCUCAGUAUCCUCUGAAGAGUUUAUAAUGUUCCUGGGACUUCAAAUACAGUACCUUUAACAGUGGGCUGACAGAGCUCUACAACAAUGGUGAAACCUGCACUUUGCACAAAGCCUGGUGAGCAAGAGUGAGGACUGAGGGCUACCUCCUGCUGAAAUGCCCUGUGAAGUAGAUUCUACUGCCAACUCCAUUUAUGGGUGAGGAAAUCAAAGUAUUUCUGCUAUUGGAUUACACCAACAAAGCCACCAAUUACUGUGGAAAUUCUUCUUACCCCUUAGUGUGAAUGGAAAUCCUAGAUGGGUGGAGAAGGUCAUGUAAAUAGAUAAUCACAAUUAAAAUCACUAGACUGUGAUGAUAUGAUGUGAACAAUGACGGAAGUAUAUACCCAAAGCAGAAGAAGCCUCCGAAGGGAAUUGGAUAAAUCUGAUUAUAAGAAAGAAGACUGACAUGUUCACAGGUCACACAAUAUUUGAGAACUGUGCUUGUCUUGGCCUUUUCAUCUCGACAUUUAACGGAGAAGAAUUUCAAUUGUUUGCAGUCAAUCCCACAGUGCUUUUCCAAUUUCCCUUUGUUUUCUUUGGGAUUUUCAAGAAACCUCACGUGCCCUACAUAAUUCAGUUAUGAUUCCAGAGGAACUUGGUGCCUCAAAGUGACAGAUGAUUUUUAAAAAUAUUUCAACACCUGUGUAUUAGAAGCAGCAUUGCAUUAAGAAUCAAGAGUCCAGAGCUAGACGCCAGGCCCUGCCAUUAAUUAGUUGUGUGACCUUCAGACACAGUGAGAAGAUGGCCAGGUGCAAGCCGGGAAGAGGGGCCUUGUCAAAAUAUGCCCAUGCUGCUACCCUGAUCUCACAUUUCCAUCUCCAGAACGAUGAGGAAACUGAGUCAUAGAGAAUUUGACUCCUAUUGAUCAAAACGCUCCAUGACACAAGGACAGUCAGCUCCAUGUACAGAAAAGGAAGCUAAACCUUGACAGCACACAGAUUUG